UUAGAUACCCUAUUAUUAGGAAAGUAAAUUAAUGCUAAAUAAUUAUAAGUUAUGAUCUUUAAAAUUAAAUAUUUUGGCGGUAUUUUAGUCUUUUCAGAGGAACCUGUUCUGUAAUUGAUACUCCACAUUAAAAUAUACUUUUAUUAGAAAUUUAUAUAUCGUUGUUAAAAUUAUUUUUAUAAAAAUUAAUAAUUAAUUUAUUUUUAAAAUUAAAAUUCAGAUCAAGGUGUAGUUUAUAUAAAAGUAGAAAUGGGUUACUAUUUAAAUAUACGGAUUUAAAAAUUUAAAAUUUUAAUUAAGUUGGAUUUGUUAGUAAUAUUUUUUAU
This 326-nucleotide ribosomal RNA is filed under the name Rodolia cardinalis. Its description in RNAcentral is "partial 12S ribosomal RNA". Lineage: Eukaryota; Metazoa; Arthropoda; Insecta; Coleoptera; Coccinellidae. The record is from RNAcentral.